UCUGAAUACCCAUUUCAAUCACGUCUCGAUCAAUGCCUCGUCAACGUCUCGUUCAAUUCUAUACGAUAGUAAAAUAGUAUUUCAGUCGUCGGAUCAGACGGAUUAACUAAUUCCGAAAGCGUUAGGACCUAUAUAUAGCUACCCUUCGCUUAUACUUACCACAUAGUCAGAUAAACACAUAGCACAUAAUUGCAAAAAUAACCCUUUUUAUAGCUACUAAAAUACAUAUAAUUUCUAACGAAAAUUCGGCAGCAUCUCCUCUGUUUAUAGUCUUAUCCACCUGUUUGCAGUACCAACAACCAGCCAAUACUAUUGCUUACACAUGAAUUAUUACUAUAAAAAUCUGCCUUGACAAGCAUUAAACACAUAAGAAAAUCUGCCUUGACUUGCAUUAAGCAUAUAAUGAAAUCUUUUAGCAGGAUUGCUAAUUUUUUAUACACAAAACACGUUUAAUUAGAUAUACAAGGUUAACCGAGCCAAUCCCUUUCAUAAUCAAUCAUAUGCUAUUAACCAAGUAUAACCUCAUACUAUGCACUAACAAAGAAAGAAGACUAGAACAAAUAGUUCAAACAGCCCUCACUCUAAGAUUUUUAAUAAAUUGAGAAUUUAUCAUUUUAAUACGAAAUUUUUAUGAGACACUCCUAAACAUUAUUCCAAUCUACUAUAAAAAUUUCAGAACCAAAUUCCAUGUUUAAGGGAGUAAACCAGGGCCUGCAAGUCAGGAACCUGAAUUUGUCCUGCAGAACCAGCCCCACGCUAUGAAUUUUAAUAAAUAGAAAAUUUGGUCUGUUUGUAUAAAAUUUUAAUGACAUAUUCCAGAUACUAACAUCUAACUCCGGUAAAAAUUUCAGAAGAAAAUCUCAAGUUUAAAGUAGCAAAACAGGGCCUAGAAUAGGACACACCUGCCCAGAAUUUUCUGCUCAACUCACACUAAAACAUACAUAUCCUUUAGCUUGUUUAACGAAACUUUGAAAUUCUUUUUCGUACUUGAUCUACACUUCAAGGAGCAUAUAAUCACAGAGAGAUUAGGCAUAGUUCUAACUUAACAGUUUCAAAACAGAUAUGCAAAACAGGGCAUAACCGCUGCGGAAACUUGACAACAAUUGACUUAGUUCUAAUACCACAACUCUAAUUACUCAAAACCCAUAUUCACAAAUCAAACAUCAAUAACCAGAAAUCAUAAACUCAAAAUCAUAGCAACUAAUUCCUAUACUUCAUUUAUAUAUCAAAUUAACAUCCACAUCAAGUUAAUCUCUCAACCAGUAAUAUGAUCAUAUACACAUAUAUAACUAAUUUAUCAAAGAAAGGUGUAUACCCACUGAUAACAACAAAAGUACACAUAUAUAUAUAAUCUGAUUCUAACAAAAAAAAUUAAUAAUACCCACUAAUUCGGAAUAAGAGAUGCAAGGGGUGAAGUGCUCGCCGGAAUCACACCCAUCGCCAAUACACCACCACUUGCUGCCAACCACAACUCCCCCGCCCCGUGUUACUUCAUCUCGCUCUUCUAUCACAACGUCGUCUCAACCCCAGUCUCCGCCAUAAUCGAACCUCCGGCGACUGCUACCAACACCUCCACCAUCAGCAGCCAGCACAAGCCCACAAACAACACGACAAUCACCCUAUAUAGAUACACGUAUAUACAUAUAUAGUCAAGCACACAUGAAUUUGAAUGUGAAAAGAUUGAACUCAAUUCUUUUGCCCUCUGAUUGAAUCCUCUGUAUAAAAACAUAACCCUAAAACUUAUGUGUCCUUACCCCAAUUCUCUCUCGCCGACUCAACACAAAUUUUCUUUUCUUUUUGUUUUCUAUUUUUAUUAUACUAAAAAUCAAACCCCCAAUUCUAAUUGAAAAGCUAUUUUCAUAAUUUUGGGCCUCAAAAUAUUCCCAAAAUUUAAAAAUAACUAAAAUUCAAAUUUAAC
Molecule: long non-coding RNA, 1918 nt
Filed under: Daucus carota (carrot)
Lineage: Eukaryota; Viridiplantae; Streptophyta; Magnoliopsida; Apiales; Apiaceae
Description: long non-coding RNA (DCAR_LNC002715)
Source: RNAcentral